This is a long non-coding RNA of Anolis carolinensis (green anole), 1788 nucleotides long. RefSeq lists it as uncharacterized. The record is from RefSeq and is a predicted model, not a curated record. The transcript is spliced from 3 exons. Lineage: Eukaryota; Metazoa; Chordata; Lepidosauria; Squamata; Anolidae.
UGUGUAUAUUUCUGUGCUAAAAUCAGUGAGGAUUAGCUUUUCAUUCCAUGUGCAUCUGUCCCCUCCAAAAAAGAAGAAAGCAUCUAGAUGUCACAAUCCUUUUUUUGCUCCAAACAAUUGGCCCCAUGUUUCCUUUGUUUUUAUUUAUUUAUUUCCAGCAUUUAUACCCCACCCUUCUCACCCGCGGGGACCCAGGGCAGCUUGCAACAGUUGGCAAGAAAGCGAUGAAGGGUUCGGCAGCACUGAGGAAGGACUUGAACGUCCUCAGAUUUUGGUGUCUACUGGAAACCAAAUACCAGCAGAUAUCAAGGGUCCACUAUACUGGGGGCUGAAAGGCUCAGCCCAGCUCCCGCCUGGCACCUGGAGACUGAUCUAGCUGAGUUUUGGCACCAUUACCAUUAUGACAACCACAGCGCAACUAGCAGGUCUGCCCUAUGAAUUGAGGAAAAGUUCAUCCGCCUAAGUGUUGGAUUUUGGUGCGCCGUUUAAGAAUUUCUUCAAGGUUUUCCACUGGAUGUCAACAAUUUAAAUUUGUAGAAAUAUUUAUAUUGCAAAGAGUUGGGCCUGAGGUACGAGGCUUGAAUGAAAAGUAAUGCCUCCACCUUCGUAACUCCUCAACAGAUGGCAGUCCUGGUCUGCAGCAGGUACUGGCUUAUUCAGUAGACUCUCCUCUACAGUUCCAUUUGGUGGGAAGCCUGAGCAUUGAACGGCUGUGUUGUUAAAGUGCAAAGUAUGGGACCCUGCGCAGACGGUCGGUCAAUGCGACUUAAGCAACGUGCAGUCAUUGAAUUCUCGACAGCAGAAGGUGCCACCACAAAGGAGAUUCAUCAGAGAAUGCAAGCUGUUUAUGGGGAUUGUGUUGAUGGGAGAGUAAGUUUCAAGAAGUGGGAACAUCUGACUUGCGUGACAAACAAAGAGUUGGACGUCCUGCGACAGCAACCACCGAGUUUCAAGCUAAAGGUUGACAGAUUGAUUCAGAACGAUUGCCAUAUCACUCAGAGAGAAAUUUCAAGCAUAAUCGGCAUUUCGCAAAAAUUAUUGCUUUGCUUGGCUAUCAGAAGAUCUGUGCAGGACGGAUACUGUGAGAUGCUGGUUGUGGAAGCAGAGUGCCGACUUCUUCCAUGACGGUUUCAGAACUGCGGCAAUUUUUAAGGGUUUUUUUCAUGUCAGGAGUGACUUGAGAAACUGUAAGUCGCUUCUGGUGUGAGAGAAUUGGCCAUCUGCAAGGAUGUUAGAGAAAGAACUACCCCACUCCUGAAGCAGCUACACUGGCUUCCGGUUUGUUUCUGGGCGCAAUUCAAGUUGCUGGCUUUGGCCUACAAAGCUGUAUACAGUUUGGGCCCAGCCUACUUGAGGGACUGUAGCUCCUUCUACCAACCCACUCGAGCUUCUUUUUUUUUUUUUUUUACGAAUUUUUAUUUUUUAAAACACAAAAAAUACAUACCAUACACAUACAAAACAUUUACAAUUCUCACCACCAACACGAGGAUUAUUUUCAUUUACAUAUUCAUUUAUUUUUGAGACAAUCUUUAUAUCUUUAUACAUUUCCAUCCUAUAUACUAUAUAACAAUUGUAUCUUAUUUCUUAUGGCUUGAUCUCUGGAUUGAUUCAUGAUAUAGUUCUUUACCCUUGUCCAUCUUUCUUCCAUUUCUCUCAUUUUUAAAACAUUUAAUUUCACAUUUAUAAUUUCAAAUUCCAUUUGCUCCACCAUAUAUUGGUACCAUUUAUUUACUGUCCAUUUUGAUUUAUCUUUCCACCCUAAUAUUAUUACUGCUUGUGCACAUUCAA